AUACGUAGGUGGCAAGCGUUGUCCGGAUUUACUGGGUGUAAAGGGCGUGCAGCCGGGACGGCAAGUCAGAUGUGAAAUCCAUGGGCUUAACCCAUGAACUGCAUUUGAAACUGUCGUUCUUGAGUACCGGAGGGGCAAUCGGAAUUCCUAGUGUAGCGGUGAAAUGCGUAGAUAUUAGGAGGAACACCAGUGGCGAAGGCGGAUUGCUGGACGGCAACUGACGGUGAGGCGCGAAAGUGUGGGGAGCAAACAGGAUUAGAUACCCUGGUAGUCCACACUGUAAACGAUGGAUACUAGGUGUAGGGGGUAUCGACUCCCUCUGUGCCGCAGUUAACACAAUAAGUAUUCCGCCUGGGGAGUACGGCCGCAAGGUUGAAACUCAAAUGAAUUGACGGGG
Molecule: ribosomal RNA, 397 nt
Filed under: uncultured bacterium
Lineage: Bacteria
Description: partial 16S ribosomal RNA
Rfam family: Bacterial small subunit ribosomal RNA
Source: RNAcentral